This is a non-coding RNA of Alternaria triticimaculans, 144 nucleotides long. Lineage: Eukaryota; Fungi; Ascomycota; Dothideomycetes; Pleosporales; Pleosporaceae. The record is from the annotation of a RefSeq genome assembly.
GGGCGUAUGGCUCAGUGGUAGAGCGUAAGUGAUUACUUUGCAUAAACUCCUUGCGCAACAAUUGCUAACUUUCUUAGGCCCGCUUUGCAACCGUUUUCGGUUAUAAACUGCGGGAGGUCCGGGUUUCGAUCACCCGUCCGUCCA